This 701-nucleotide ribosomal RNA is filed under the name Amnibacterium sp. Its description in RNAcentral is "bacterial SSU rRNA". It matches the Rfam family "Bacterial small subunit ribosomal RNA", at positions 54 to 770 of the family's 1533-position model. The record is from RNAcentral. Lineage: Bacteria; Bacillati; Actinomycetota; Actinomycetes; Micrococcales; Microbacteriaceae.
CAUGCAGUCGACGGUGAAGCAGAGCUUGCUCUGCGGAUCAGUGGCGAACGGGUGAGUAACACGUGAGUAACCUGCCCUUGACUCUGGGAUAAGCGUUGGAAACGACGUCUAAUACCGGAUACGACCUACGGAGGCAUCUCCUGUGGGUGGAAAGAAUUUUGGUCAAGGAUGGACUCGCGGCCUAUCAGCUAGUUGGUGAGGUAACGGCCCACCAAGGCGACGACGGGUAGCCGGCCUGAGAGGGUGACCGGCCACACUGGGACUGAGACACGGCCCAGACUCCUACGGGAGGCAGCAGUGGGGAAUAUUGCACAAUGGGCGCAAGCCUGAUGCAGCAACGCCGCGUGAGGGACGACGGCCUUCGGGUUGUAAACCUCUUUUAGUAGGGAAGAAGCGAAAGUGACGGUACCUGCAGAAAAAGCACCGGCUAACUACGUGCCAGCAGCCGCGGUAAUACGUAGGGUGCAAGCGUUGUCCGGAAUUAUUGGGCGUAAAGAGCUCGUAGGCGGUUUGUCACGUCUGCUGUGAAAACUGGAGGCUCAACCUCCAGCUUGCAGUGGGUACGGGCAGACUAGAGUGCGGUAGGGGAGAUUGGAAUUCCUGGUGUAGCGGUGGAAUGCGCAGAUAUCAGGAGGAACACCGAUGGCGAAGGCAGAUCUCUGGGCCGUAACUGACGCUGAGGAGCGAAAGCGUGGGGAGCG